GGUCCCAUCGUCUAGCGGCCCAGGAUCCUUGGUCCUCAACCAAGAGACGGGGGUUCGAAUCCCCCUGGGACCA
This 73-nucleotide transfer RNA is filed under the name Euzebya pacifica. It matches the Rfam family "tRNA". Rfam says of the family: Transfer RNA (tRNA) molecules are approximately 80 nucleotides in length. Their secondary structure includes four short double-helical elements and three loops (D, anti-codon, and T loops). The record is from Rfam by way of RNAcentral. Lineage: Bacteria; Bacillati; Actinomycetota; Nitriliruptoria; Euzebyales; Euzebyaceae.